Homo sapiens (human) is the source of this 1749-nucleotide long non-coding RNA. Ensembl annotates it as long intergenic non-protein coding RNA 1539. NCBI's taxonomy places the organism in Eukaryota, Metazoa, Chordata, Mammalia, Primates, Hominidae. The record is from Ensembl.
GUGUCACCAGAGAGGAAAAGAAUAUCCUUGCUGUGCCAAGAAAGAAAAGACCAUGGAUCUACUAGUUGCAGAUUUCAGCAGUAAUGCCAAGGGGGCAAGAAGUGACCAGCAGAACAAUUAGGCCAUGGCAACAGAAGCCAACUACAACCCAUGUUCCAAUCUAUGACCUCCCUCUCCUGCUGGUACAAGGAUAUGUAUUCCUUAGAGCAAAGGAUGCAAUGUCAAGCAAGUUGUGAUACCUCAACUAUCUACAAUUUAACACCAAGGAAAGAACACUGUUUGGAGAAAUGAGAAAGAUUAUCAUCAGUGUCUUUCAGAAGUCAUCAAAAGAAGAAAAGGAGAAAAGAGAGGAGAAAGCAGAAAGAUCUGGAGUCUGGGAAGUUCAAGAGCAUGGCACCAACAUCUGGCAAGGGCUUUCAUUCUGCAUCAUCUCAUGGAGGAAAAUAAAAAGGAGGCUGGAUGCUCCUGUGAAGUACGUCUUUUAUCUACUUGCUAUCUUUGCAAUUCCUUCAUGCUACAAUGAGAGAUAGAGUUUAAACCUGAAAACAUUCUUGGAAAAGGAAUCUUCAUUAAUUCAAAUAUACCACAAGGUUCUGCCACUGUGGCCAUCACCUGGGAUUGGAGAAAGGCAAAUGGAACAGACCAACUCAGAAUUACAGUCCUCAUUUAUUUCAUCAGAGGUUGGCCUGUACUUACAUUAGCCCUUUCUGGCUAGAGCUUCAUGUCUCACCCACUGUCUGUUCACUUCUGACCUGAAACAAUGGGACUGCAGAAGAGAGAAGGAAAAUAUCUGGUGGUCAGGCUAACUCUGUGUACCCCAUGAUGAAGAUGUUUUCCAUAGGAGUUCAUUGUCACAGAUUCACCACCAUCACUACUCUAAGUAUUUUUCUUCUUGAGAAAGAGAAGGAGAGGGAAAGCAAGGAAGAGGAAGAGAAAGAGAAAUGGAUAAAAACAUGGUCAAGUAGAAGAGUCUGUGUGUCUUCCAGAGUCCUCACGAGUAUCAGAGAAGGCAUAAUCUGUACACGUGGCUUCAUUUAAAAUGAAAAUAUCAAGCAGUGUCAUUUUCACAAGUAUCCCCACACUGUCUGAGGCUGAAAAGAAGAGUGUAGCUAUGCACACUGCAGUGAGAAGAAAAUUUCAGCUCAAUUGGAGGAUGUAAAGAUUGAAAUACCACUGCUCCUAGUUCUGAUGCAAAAUUGAAAAGAGUGCACUGGGUCUUCAAAUGGCAUAUUGACAAGGAGAAAGAGGAAAGGAUGCCCCAGGACAGCCUGGGGGUCAAGGCUGGGCUCAGGCAUGCCUGGACAAGCCAUGCAAGUUGUCUCCGGACUUGAACCACGUAUCAGAGGAGCUAUUUGAGGAGCCACAUCAGCAUACCUGCUUCUGUGGGCCCCCAGGCUGUGGUGCUCAGCCCUUGCACUAUGAAACAUUUUUUUUUUCCAGAAGCCAAAGCUUUGAGCAUCUCCUCCCAUGUAGAGAGUGUAUAUGUUUACGUCCAUGUCUUUCGCCAUGUGAACGCAUGCAACCACCACCUCAAAUAUCAUAAAUCCUCUCUCUCCCCCUUUCUGUCUGCCUGUUUAUCUACAAUCUGUCUAUUUAAAUUCUUUUUAAACAAGAAGGGAAUAUCUUUAUGCCUGUUUGUAGGGAUAUUCUACAUCCAUCUGUUAUUUACAUCAUUCGUUUUCCUGAGGUGUCUCCAACAAAUCCUGGCUGGAUGCACUGUAUGUGUUAUUAAUAAAACAGCUGUAAAAA